ACAGGGUCUCGCUCUGUCACCCAGACUAGAGUGCAGUGGUGCAGAUCUUGGCUCACUACAGCCUUGACCUUCUGGGCUCAAAAGAUCCUACCAUCUCAGCCUCCUGAGUAGCUGCGACUACAGGCAUGUGCCACCACGCCCGGCUAUGGAUUUGUGGGGAGAUGUGCUGUGUGGAGUCCUGGAGUUUCAGCGAGAGGGCUCCGUGUGUGGAAGGUGCAGGACACCCCCAAGAAAUUCAGUGAAGCCCCACUCUGCGGUGACUGGCUAGACGUCCUGCUGCAAGCCCAGUACGUGAGAGACUGCUGGAGGCGGGCGGAGGAAGGGCUGCUGGACUCACACAGGGCCAUCUCACCCGGCCAGAAGAGGCAGUCUCCAGGCCUUGGUGAACAGACAGCAGAAGGUUUAAGGAUUCUCCACUGCCCCUGGUUUGGGAGGAGCUGCUCACGUAAAUAAAGAGGGGAUUUUGCCACCACAAGCAUAAAUACUCACUCUCAGAACAACGAGGCACCACCAGGGAACAAAAGGUGGGUCUUUAUAAUGUUACAUAUUGAUAAAGGUUGUUUUACAAUGCCGCUAGUGAUACUCAGUUUUGGUGAAUUGACUAACAUCUCCCACCACAUGGCAAGUUUUUUUUUAUUUCCCCCAAACAAGCUUCCAAAAAUAGCCUUAUGGCUGAUACCUAAUUGCAUUUCUAACAGAGCUAUUCUUCAUGUGCAGAUAACAGUCUCUGUAACCUGCUGGAUCUUGCAGCUUUAUGGGUUUUGGCAAAAAAAGGAGUUGAGGGGGAUUGCAGAAUUCACUCAGCAUGCAGCUUGCUGUCAUUACCACGGUGAUAAAUUUGCUGGUUUUGGCCUGGGUUCCUGGACACAUCCCCAUCCAGAGGUAUGGAAAAGAGAUGAAAUGGAAACAGAGAACUCCCAGCCUGAGGCCGGAGACAGUCUGGGAGGGAAGUAGGGAGCCCAGAAUGGGGCUGAAAACCAAAAGGGUAGGGGAGGGAAGGAAUGCUCUGCCUGCAGGAGUGUCCAUAAUUAGUAAUUUUUCCUUCAGUAAUUUACCACAGUACAUGCUAGAAACACCUUCUCUCCCUUUUGAUACAUUAAUUGAUGGAUUGUGGGUGGCAGCGGGGAGCAGAGCUUACAGCAAUCCACGGGAAAGCUCCAGAGGAGACGGGUGACCUUAAAUAUGACCGCGAGCAGGGUAUGUGGAGGUGGUGCUCUGUGUGGUAUAUGGGUUUUCUCUGUUACUGAGUAGUUCUAGGGAAAGUAUUAUCAUCAUGCAGAAGUGAAACUGAUUUUUUUACAUCAGUAUUCAGUCUUCUGAAUAAAACCAUUUUCCAUAAGCUUCACACUCUAUUUUGCACGCAUGCUAGUUUGAGAUUAUUCACGUGAACGCUGCUUGGCUGGCCUGGAGGAGAGCUAUUCACUUACGACUCCCUGAGUGGCUGUCUGCUGCUCCUGCAAUUUCUGGGAUGCUGUGCCUCAUUCAACAUGUUUAUGUUGCUAUCAAACAAUAAAUACUUAUCUCUCAUCUAC
Long non-coding RNA from Homo sapiens (human), 1532 nucleotides. RefSeq lists it as uncharacterized. The record is from RefSeq and is a predicted model, not a curated record. Lineage: Eukaryota; Metazoa; Chordata; Mammalia; Primates; Hominidae. The transcript has 4 exons.